ACGUAAGUUUACUGCAUACAAAAAGUCAUCAUUGACCGUAGACAGUCACACACAUCAUUCAUGGUUCCUGCCGAAAGGGUCUGUAUAGUUAUCAGAUUUUCUGUGUGAUGGCUCCAUACAAG
Molecule: small nucleolar RNA, 122 nt
Filed under: Propithecus coquereli (Coquerel's sifaka)
Lineage: Eukaryota; Metazoa; Chordata; Mammalia; Primates; Indriidae
Source: RNAcentral